Molecule: RNA transcript, 1978 nt
Organism: Vitis vinifera (wine grape)
Lineage: Eukaryota; Viridiplantae; Streptophyta; Magnoliopsida; Vitales; Vitaceae
Gene name: chromo domain-containing protein LHP1
Exons: 5
Source: RefSeq, a predicted model, not a curated record
GACAAAAUCUGAUGAAGACAGGCUGAAUGGCAUAGGGUGGCCCCUCUGAAACCCUCUGGGCAAGAGGGCAAGCGAGUAGGUGUAAGACCCACAUUUAUACCGCCCUUUUCAACGCCAUUUCUUCAAUCCCAAGCCCACGCUACACACAACAAUGAAGACCAAGAGGAAAACCGAAGCCCAAACGACGCCGUUUCAUGGCCCCAACCUUCACCCUCACCCACACCCAGAGCACAAUGACGAUGGCGGAACCCAGCACGAAGAAGACGAAACGACGCCGUAUCAGGAGGCUCAGCAAGAUGAGGAGGUGGAGGAGGAGGAGGAGGAGGAAGAAGAAGAAGUGGAGGAGGGGGAGGGGGAGGGGGAGGGGGAAGGGGAAGGGGAAGGGGAAGGGGAAGGGGGGGAGCAGUCUGAGCGGCCGAAGCUGGACGAUGGGUUCUACGAAAUCGAGGCCAUUAGGAGGAGGAGGGUUCGCAAGGGUCAGCUUCAGUACCUCAUCAAAUGGCGGGGUUGGCCUGAGAACGCCAACACUUGGGAGCCCUUGGAGAAUCUUCAGGCCUGUUCGGAUGUCAUUGAUGCUUUUGAAGAUAGGCUGAGAUCUAAGAGAAAUAGGUCUUCUCGGAAGCGCAAGCGCAAGUCUGGAGGUAGUGCUCAAACCCUUCCCAAGAAGAAACAGCAGCGUUCUGGUGCUAGUAAUGUAAGGGGUGUGCAUUUUCGUAUCAAUGAUGAGCAUCUUCUAUCUACGCAUGUCAACACUUUGGGUCAUGCUGAUAUUGAGGGGGUUAAUGGGGCUGUCAACAAUGUGGAAAUGACCAAGGAAAGCAAUGAAAAUGGGUCUGGAGAUGUUUCCCUUCAAAUUCCACAGAGGGAGGAGGACAACGAUUCAGAUCCGAAGCUUAUAGAGCUUAGAGGGUCCAAUGAAGGCAAUGCCAAUAAAUUCAAAAUACAAUUCCAAGAGGUCAAGGCUUUGGAAGGUGAUUGCCCCAUGAAUGGGCAUUCCAAGGUUGAACGUGUUGAAAUGGAUCAAAGCAGUCGCCGCACAGGAGCUAGACGGAGAAAAUCUGGUUCUGUGAAAAGGUUCACGAAAGAUCUUGCCCCGUGUGAACCAAAUGACAUACAGAAUACAGCAACUAGAAUUCAAAUUGGUUCAUGUGGUAGAGUUGAAAGCCCUGAAUUUCCAGGGAAUGAUUCGGGCCUCAAUAACAAAUUUGAUGGUGCCAUAAAUAUGUCUGCUAUCACUGAGAUCAUCAAGCCUAUAAGCUAUUCUGCCUCCAUAUCAAAUGAUGCCCAGGAUGUGUCAGUCACCUUUAUGGCCAUGAGGUCCGAUGGAAAAGAGGUGAUGGUGGAUAACAAAUUUCUCAAGGCUAACAAUCCACUUCUGUUAAUCAACUUUUAUGAACAACAUCUCCGUUACAGUCCUACAACUUGACUGGAAAAUAUGUAGUUAUGGACAGCAUGAGCAUAUGUAGCUGGAGCCACGUCAUCUUUGCUUCUCUCCUUACGCUGUGUUGGAAUUUUGUAGUUGCAAGUGAUAGUGCAGGACAACCAGUUCAAACUUUCUUGGGUGGGUGGUAAAUAUUGCAAGGCUGAGUCGAAUAGCAGGAGGCCAUGUCUUUCUUUUUCUUCUUGUUUGUGGGUGUUGGUGAUUAGUAUGAAUAGCUACUUAGCGAUGAGAAAGUCUUGUUCACAACUUUAACUUCUGUCCAGCAAACCAGUAGCUCUGGAUAUGAUGGUGGUGGGUUUGGUCUUGGAACUUUGCUUAUGGUUGUGCUGUUCUUGAUUCUGUAUAAUCUGGUGUGAGGUUCUGUCAUCUUUGAUAGAAGGCUUCUAUGUACAUUUUAAAAGAAAAAGGAAUAGGUUUCAUGGAUUGUUUACCUUUUGGAGAAUAUACAAGUUGCAAAAUCCAUAGAUUAUGUGUUUGAUUUCAAAUUUGUAGAAUUCUAAUUUUAUGUGAAGGAAAACGUUAGCUAUAGUUGUUUAA